AAGUGGGGGUCAUAGGGUCUCUGGAGGGUGUGUGAGAUGAGGCCUCCCUGUCCCUCUUCCCAGCCCUCACGUGUGGUCCUCAAGAGGCCACCUAAGGACCCAGGCGUGCUGUUAAUUGAGAGAGGACAGCAGCUCUGGCUGAGAUCAGGAUGCUCACCGUGGGUGGGGAGUUCCAGGGACUGGAGGCAGCAAGGGAGAUGUGGGGAGGCCACUGUGAGCAUCCUGUGGCCAGCCAGGCAGUGUCAGAGCUGGACGAGGCCGUGUGCUCAGCACUGGGGUGCAUCAAAGUCUCAUCCUACUGCAGAAGAAACUAAGCUCAGAGAGAUUUCCAGCUUCCUCAGAUCAUUGCUCAGAGCAGUGGAUCAAGAACAAGACCCCAGGAUGUCAGCACUAAGACUUCAGCACCAGUGUGGCAACCUCGGAACCAGCCUUGCUCACCUGUGCCUCAGUUUCCUACCAGUGGAUGAGGAUACUGUGUGUGUUACAGAUUUCUGAGGCUCCAGGGAGAUGUAGAGUGAGAGGAGCCUAGACGAACGUCCCCACACAGUCAGGGUCCAUGCACUUCAUUGUCAUCCUGCCAUUUGAAGACUGCCCCUUCCAGGACCAACUGGUCUCUGAGCUGGACUUUCCUUCCCAGUGACAUAGGACUCUAAAUGAUAUAUGGGAAAUAGCAUAACUCUCAACCUGUUAGAUUUCACAUACACCAAGUUUGUGUUCUCCAAAAUUAAACAAUGAAUUUUAAG
This 743-nucleotide long non-coding RNA is filed under the name Heterocephalus glaber (naked mole-rat). RNAcentral describes it as "lncRNA (ENSHGLG00000033067.1)". Lineage: Eukaryota; Metazoa; Chordata; Mammalia; Rodentia; Bathyergidae. The record is from RNAcentral.